GUCGGAUAUGGCGACAUCUACCCUACCACCCCGUUGGGGAAAGUAAUUGGUAGUGUCUGUUGUAUCUGUGGGGUACUUGUUGUUGCUCUACCCAUUCCCAUCAUUGUCAACAAU
Rhodnius prolixus is the source of this 114-nucleotide non-coding RNA. The record is from Rfam. NCBI's taxonomy places the organism in Eukaryota, Metazoa, Arthropoda, Insecta, Hemiptera, Reduviidae.